UGGGUCAGUGAUGACCUCUGGUGGCCUGAAAUCGUGGACAGUGAAUAUAUGUCUACAGCUCCGAGGUCCAC
Molecule: small nucleolar RNA, 71 nt
Organism: Cavia aperea (Brazilian guinea pig)
Lineage: Eukaryota; Metazoa; Chordata; Mammalia; Rodentia; Caviidae
Source: Ensembl